UAUUCCGGUUGAUCCCGCCGGCGGCUACCGCUAUAGGAAUUCGAUUAAGACAUGCGAGUCGAGAGUCGUAAUGGACUCGGCGGACUGCUCAGUAACACGUGGAUAACGUGCCCUUAAGUGGAGGAUAAUCUCGGGAAAUUGAGGAUAAUACUCCAUAGACUACGAAAUCUGGAAUGAUUCAUAGUUGAAAGUUCCGGCGCUUAAGGAUCGGUCUGCGGCCUAUCAGGUUGUAGUGGGUGUAACGUACCUACUAGCCUAUGACGGGUAUGGGCCUUGAGAGAGGGAGCCCAGAGUUGGAUUCUGAGACACGAAUCCAGGCCCUACGGGGCGCAGCAGUCGCGAAAACUUCACAAUGGGGGCAACCCCGAUGAGGGAAUUCCUAGUGCUAGCACAAUUGUGUUAGCUUUUCUCUAGCGUAGAUAACUGGAGGAAUAAGGGCUGGGAAAGACGGGUGCCAGCAGCCGCGGUAA
Molecule: ribosomal RNA, 470 nt
Filed under: uncultured archaeon
Lineage: Archaea
Description: bacterial SSU rRNA
Rfam family: Archaeal small subunit ribosomal RNA
Source: RNAcentral